GCCGGGGUGGCGUAAUUGGCAGCCGCGAAGGUCUUAGGAGCCUUUGCCGAAAGGCGUGCGGGUUCGAGUCCCGCCCCCGGCA
This 82-nucleotide transfer RNA is filed under the name Acidobacteriota bacterium. Its description in RNAcentral is "Acidobacteria bacterium tRNA-Leu". It matches the Rfam family "tRNA". From Rfam's summary of the family: Transfer RNA (tRNA) molecules are approximately 80 nucleotides in length. Their secondary structure includes four short double-helical elements and three loops (D, anti-codon, and T loops). The record is from RNAcentral. RNAcentral also lists the same sequence under 2 other names. Lineage: Bacteria; Pseudomonadati; Acidobacteriota.